This is a long non-coding RNA of Cercocebus atys (sooty mangabey), 1090 nucleotides long. RefSeq lists it as uncharacterized. Lineage: Eukaryota; Metazoa; Chordata; Mammalia; Primates; Cercopithecidae. The record is from RefSeq and is a predicted model, not a curated record. The transcript is spliced from 2 exons.
CCUCCCAAAGUGCUGGGAUUACAGGCUUGAGCCACCGCGCCCGGCCAGGAAUUUUUUCUUAAAGUUUGAGUCCAAGUUUAUGUCCUCCUCUGUGGGUAAAACCAAUGUUUUCUGCAAAAACUAUUUGGUUUUUAAAAAGUAAAAUUGAUAUAUGUAUACAUUGUAUAAUGAUUUCCACAGUCAAAAUAAUUGAUACUUCUAGUACCAGGCAUGCUGUACCUUAGAUGUCUAGAACUUGUUCUUUUUAAAACUGGAAGUUGAUACCUUUUGACUACCAUCUUUCCAUUUCCCUCAUCCACCAGCCACUGGUAAACCACUGUUCUGCUCUCUGCUUCUAUGAAUUCAACUUUUUAUAAUCUCACAUAUAAACAAGAUCACACAGGAUUUGUCUUUCUGUACCUAGAUUAUUUCACCUAGCAUCAUGUCCUUCAGGCCCAUCCAUGUUGUUGCAAAUGGCAGGAUUUCCCUCCUUUAUUAUGGCUGAAUAAUAUUUUAUAAUAUACCACAUUUUCUGUAUCCAUUUAUCCUUUGAUGCAUUGCACACUUAGAUUAUUUUCCUAACCUGGUAAUUGUGAAUAGUGCUGCAGUGAACAUGAGUCCCCAAAUUAAAAGGAGCUGAGCAAGGCAAUAAAGCAGGAGGAGAAGCAGUCUGACAUGGGGACUCAUAAGCUGUGUCCAGCCCCUGAUUCCCACAUUCUGAAGCUUUCCUGUUUCAAAGCCACCAUGAGAGCUUGAGCUGGCUUGCUGUAAAGGUUAAUACUUGAAUGGUCAAAGCUGGGACAGAGUCAUGGAGCCCCUCUUAUGACUGGACGAAGUUGGCUUUCUUUAUAAAUCAGCCUGUGUGGCUUACACAAGGGCAGGCCCUGAUGCUCCCGAAUAUUUCCAUGCCCAGGAGAACUGGAAGCACCACCAUGUGUUUCCCUCAUUUCUGAGGUCCCCUUGUAAAAUUAAAAGUAUAGUGUCAGGACGCUACAAACUCUGCCCUAUGGGGUUGUGCAUCUCCAGGACCACACUAUGCUCCAUGAGACAUGCGAUCUUGUGAGUUUGCUAGGCCCCCCACACUGAUACAGGUGGACAAAAAAAAAAAAAA